CGGCGGACGGGUGAGUAACGCGUGGGUAACCUGCCUCACACAGGGGGAUAACAGUUAGAAAUGACUGCUAAUACCGCAUAACCCGCUAGGGCCGCAUGGCCCGGACGGAAAAGAUUUAUCGGUGUGAGAUGGACCCGCGUCUGAUUAGCUAGUUGGUGAGGUAAUGGCUCACCAAGGCGACGAUCAGUAGCCGACCUGAGAGGGUGAUCGGCCACAUUGGGACUGAGACACGGCCCAAACUCCUACGGGAGGCAGCAG
Molecule: ribosomal RNA, 258 nt
Filed under: uncultured bacterium
Lineage: Bacteria
Description: partial 16S ribosomal RNA
Rfam family: Bacterial small subunit ribosomal RNA
Source: RNAcentral